Coturnix japonica (Japanese quail) is the source of this 4730-nucleotide non-coding RNA. The record is from RefSeq and is a predicted model, not a curated record. NCBI's taxonomy places the organism in Eukaryota, Metazoa, Chordata, Aves, Galliformes, Phasianidae.
AGCCUAAUAGGGGGAAUAGAGUUUCAUGUACAAGUCAUGUAGAAGAGUUGACAGGAGUCAGCUGGGCUACAGUUAGAACAGGGGGCUGCUGUUGUUUCCCUUCUGUGCUGGGAACUUAGUUCAAAUUCCCACGAUUGCAGGAAGGAAAUCUCCCAACAGAUUGGGCAGUGAUGCUUGGAAACUGCCCCCAGGUGGAAGUUGGGUUUAUGCAAGAGGAAGAGGACAGGCUCAUGCAGACACAUCUGGUACUUGAACUGUAGAUAUUUCUGCUCCUAUAAACUCCCUGUACUUAGAGCUGUUAGUUCAUAUACCAGCCAGUUGGAGAGCAGAUGAGACAGCACAGUCCUGAACAUGAUUCCCAUUGCCUUACAGCCAUGAUGUUGCCCAUCUCAUGUUGGCUCUUUCCAGUGGACAGGACCUUCUUUUCCCUUGUUUCUCAUCUAUAGUCCUAGAAAUGUGAGGGCCUCAUCAUUGAAGAGGACAUGACUACUAGCAUCACAACAUACUUUCCAUAAUGUCUUUUAAGAACAGUGGAGAGAAAGGGCAGAGCCCUGGAGCCUGAAGGCCAGAACAGCACCACAACCAGAUCAACUUGCCUGUCAUUGUCUCUGGACUUGCCUCCCUUCCAGGAGAGGGACUCACCACUCAGAUGACCUCCUCCUGCCUGGAGCCAGAGGAGCCUGAGAGCAACCAGGUGAGUCCCUGCUUCCUUCAUGCACUGCUUGCAAGCAGUGUCCUGUGUGCCUGCUCUAGAGGAGCUACAGGCAGCUGACAAAUGCUCCCAUCCUUUGGGACAGCUUUCCCUGGCAACCACAGCCCUGACCAGUACGUGCUCCAGGGCCACUACUGAUGGGACAAGGGAGUUAUGAAUUGUCAUUGAAAAUGGGAAAGAGACAAUGAGAGGUAUUAAAGAAAAAUCACAGCACUGUUAGCACAGUCAAUACUCACAUCUCCCUCACACUGAGCAAAUUACAAAGAAACAAAACAAAAAAGGUUAGUAAACAAAACAGCAUCAACAGGAAGGACAAAGCACAACGUCUGAGGGAAAUGCACAAGCCCAGGAACCCCAUACAGCAGCUUAAGGGACUGGGCAGCAGCAUACUUGGAGGGUCAGUCACAAGACAAAAGCUGUGGGAACACAAGUUUUGCACUACAAAGGAGAACAGCAGCAAGAGAGAGGUGAGCUGGGGAAGGUGCAGUACUUAAGGCCAGCUUGAACAUAGAGAUGUGGCACAGGAUUCCAGGCACAUUAUAGGAAGCACUGGUCUAAUCAUGAGUUAACUUGCCUGAUGCUGAAGCAGCAGUUCACCCUUCCAUGCCUUGUGCCUUGUCCCCUGAUAGUUAGUAAAGGACCUUGAGGCCUGAGGCCAGGGACCUCACCCUCAAGCUAAGCUGGGUGCCCACAACAGCAGCUGAGGUUGCUCUUCUGUUGUGGUGAUCUGUUCCAUAGAAGCAGAGCUAUUAAAGGCUCUGGAGAGCCUUAGAGUGGCUCUGCAUCCUGUCUGGAGAGCAUCAGCACUGCAGCUCCAGGGGGAGACCAGGUUUCUCUUCUCUAGCUACAGGAAAUCCCCAUUCAAGGGUCUUUCUACAAUUGAGAGACCUUGGGAUCACUUCAUGUUGGAAGCAAGGUAAAAAGGAAGAGAGUAGAAAGGGAGGAAGCAUACAAGUUCUCUAAAUUCCUAAUCUGAUUUAAGCCUAAGAUAAAGCAGUAGUCACAGCUUCCACUAGCAAGUCCUCAUGUCAACAGUACAAGAUGGCAAUUUGCCUCAACAGGGUCCUCCAGGGAUCCCAUCUCUGCCCAGCUGCAUUCUCUCUGCCUCCUGUUACCUGGUCUCUGCCCAGACAACAGCCCUGAGCUGACAGCUCUCAGCCUCAGAGAACUCUGCAGUCCUUAUUCCACAUCCCCAUUUUUCAGGCCUGUGGGACACUGGCUUAGCAGCUCCCUUCUGCACUGUCCUGGGAGCUUCAUGUUUACCAGCCAUGAAUUCUCCAAAGACCAAACAGGCCAAAUCAUAACUAGUCUGAAAUCCUGGGACUCCUUCAGAGCCCCAGCACUCUUUCCUGUUGUACACCUUCCAGCUCAGCUCUCUCUUUGCUUGCUUUCAGGUCCCCAGGGAGAUUUAGCAAGUCCUCAGAAGAUGUGGCCUUUUAGUUACCAACACAAAUCACCCAGCUACAACCUGAACUGCCAGGAACCACUGUCAGUCAGAAGACAGGAGCAUGGCUUAAGUGUGAGUUUCCAGCCUCUGGCAGCUCAGAACUAUUUCUUUCAAUAACUUUCCCAUGGAAGGGUAUCUGAGGAACAGACACAUUGUGCCUGCUCACAGUUCCCUUCCAUACCAGAUGAGAAACCCUCCCGCUUAUGCCUGCCAGAGUAGGGCAGCCUGACUUAUGUCCAGAGAUCUUUUGGAACUGCUCAUGUGGGUCAAACCUUGUGGCCAGAAGGACAGAGGGAAUGAGGGAAAAAGUUACCGCUGCUUUUGCUUCUGCAGCUUUGGCUUUCUUCAACCGUGCUUUGCAGGCAUCCAGAUCCAGGCGGCGGUUCUGCAGGAUCCUCCUCUCUUUCUGGAAGAGACAGAAAAGGGGAAAGGAGCAGGCUGAUUAGGAGCUGCUGGGAAGGGAAAGGACCAAUGUAUCACGAGGUGGAACUGAGAACUCACAGCAUUGCCGGGUGCAGGGACCACCUCUUUACGCAGCAACUUGCAGCAAGAUCAGAUGAAAGCAACAACCAGCAAAGGAGAUUAGAGGUAUCCAGUAGCCAAGGCAUUAUCUCCAUUAAGGUCAGAAAGCAGAGGGGAAAAGUCUACUUUAUCACUAGAGCUCAGGGAGAUGGUAGAGUCCAUCUUUCUCCAGGAGCUUUAAGAUGGAACAAGUCAAGAUACAGCUGCUAGUGGUAACUUCAGCCAGCACCCACUGACUUUCCAUCAGAACUGAUAGAAGACAGACACCUACAAUUAUAUCCAGACAUCCCUCAGAAAAUCUGGUUUGCAGCCUGUCUAGAGCAGAGACAUCCAGUGUGUCACCUUCAGAAGAACUGAUGCUAACUCCUACAGGGAGGCCAGAACUGCCUCCUCUGAGGAGGUUUGGGCCCAUUUAAUGGUAACUGGAAGAUGCAGCUGACCAAAAAAUAAAGUCUUAUUCUCCUUCAAUGAAGGUAAGAAUGAUUUGUGCGAGGGCUGUCCUGCAGAUGCCAGAGCUGUUAGGGAUGUAACUGCAACCCUUGGAGGAUGCUGUGACUGUAUCCUUAGAGGAUAGUGGUGACUGUUGAAACAAGUGUCAGUAUAGUAAAUCCUCAUCUGGGAUUCUGAAUCCUAGAAAAGCUCUUAAUCCAUGCAGUCGUACAAGCCUGGGAGUUUAUUUCCCACUCUCGUGGCAUCAGGGCUUACAACUACCUUUUUUCCUAUGCUUUAGCUUGUAGCUGCUUUGUUUUUUAUGAAGCAUUUUCUGAGAGCAUAAGAGAUGCCAUAAAGCCCACAGGACACUGCCUUGUGGGGGUGUACACAGCCUAUUAACAUGGUUACUGCAUACACAGCUAUGGAGAAAUACUGUACAGCUCCUUCCCCAUGGCUGUGUCUGCUCCUGUUACUCCCAGGAGAGGGGAGUCCAGCAAGGAACCUGAUUCUCCUCUGGCAGGAGACUGACUACGUGGUGCCUGAGGAGACCAGUUCCUAAAAGAGCCAGGAUUAUUCCACUGCAGAUUUGGAACGAGACAGCACUGCUCUGGUUGUUUCUCAACCCCCACAGCAUGGGUAGAACAAGAAGCCCAGUCCUAGAAUCACCAGCAGGAGUUCAGCACUGGGUCAGGACGCCAACCAGCUCUGAUUUACCUCUCUCCUCUCCCACCUGCCCAGGGGCAGUCUCCCAGUUGUGCCUGAGGAGCAGGCAGGCUCAGCAGCCACCUCUCACCACCUGCUGCACACUUUGUUCAUCACAGGUAGCCAAGCUUCUUCAGUCUGUGGUUUUGGGACAUCACUGCAUCCUGGGCAGGCUCCUGAUACCUAAAGGAUCUAAAGGAUGAUCUAAAGGUUGAUCUAAAGGAUGCUUUGAUGCCACUUUAGACCAGUGAGACAUUGCCUGCUCGGUCUCAGCAGCUCCUUCCCAUCUCCGACAGCUGUUUUGUCGAGUCCUGGCAGCUUCUGCAGCCUGACCUCGUGGGUGACUGAAUCACCACCAUGAAACACCACUUCCACCCCACCUGCCUGACAGCAGGGCACAGCCCCCCAGCAGGCCGGCUCACUAGGUGCAGUUAACAGCUGUCUACGAGGUUUUAAAACAGCUUAAGGACAACAACCACAACGCAACCAGCAUUCACUCCUUUCCCUUGCCCUGGUCCCUGCUGCAGCCAGAAGCAUCCCUGGUGCUAUCGCCCCAUUAUGGAGCACUGCCGGCCCAGGAACAUGGCAGCAGCAGGGCUCAGCUCUGCUCUUGCUCCACGUUACCCAGCACUGCUCGCUGCAGAUGCCAGCCUUAAAUCUCUUUUCUACCUCCAAGAAAGCUGCAGAAAAACCAAACACAGCAACAAAAAAACACCCUCAGCGCUUAAAACUAAUGCUUUAGCAAACAGAUCCUGGGCGGGAUGCUGUGUGCCCUGAAGCAGAGAUAAGAAUGGGGAAGCCGACUGCAGGGGGAACAGCGCAUCGCUGGGUGCUUCCCCUCGGACCAGGGGACUCCCCGGCCCCCAGGGCUGCCCCCCCCCGGUUCAGUGCUAUGGUGACUCGCUCCAUCCCGCA